Molecule: ribosomal RNA, 323 nt
Filed under: uncultured Allapsidae
Lineage: Eukaryota; Cercozoa; Glissomonadida; Viridiraptoridae
Description: SSU rRNA
Rfam family: Eukaryotic small subunit ribosomal RNA (bases 105-323)
Source: RNAcentral
GAUUUCUGGUCUGGCGCGCCUGGCCCGCCGUGCAAACGUGUGAGUGCCGGGUCGCGCCUGCCAUCCUUCUAGAGAACGUGCCUACCCUUCACUGGGCCGGGUUACGCCAUCUAGAUCUUUUACUUUGAAAAAAUUAGAGUGUUUAAAGCAGGCUGUUUGCUAUGAAUACAUUAGCAUGGAAUAAUAAUUUAGGACUUCGGUUCUAUUUUGUUGGUCUUCUAGGACUGAAGUAAUGAUUGAUAGGGAUAGUUGGGGGUGCUAGUAUUCAGUGGCCAGAGGUGAAAUUCUCGGAUUCACUGAAGACUAACUUAUGCGAAAGCAUU